AUGAAUAGAAACUGGAACAUUCUCAAUUGGAACAUCAGAGGUAUUAAUGACAGUAACAAAUGGCUUGCUCUUAGAAAUAAGAUUGCUGAGGCAAAUGUAGAUAUUGUCUGUCUCCAAGAAACUAAGAAAGAGCAUUUUGAUUACGGAUAUCUCAAAAACUUCUGCCCCAACAGGAUAAAUUGUUUUGACUUUCUACCCUCUGUGGGUGCUUCUGGUGGUCUUCUCAUAGCAUGGAAUGGCAGCAUUUUUGAUGGAGAAACUCUUUUUCAAAAUGAGUUUUCCAUUUCCAUCAGAUUCACAUCUAAGCUCACUAGUGAUUCUUGGAUUCUUACCAACAUUUAUGGCCCAUGUCAAGGUGCAGUUAGAGAAGAUUUCCUGAACUGGUUCAGCAUCCAAAUGCCUGAUGAGACCAAGUGGAUGAUCAUGUGA
RNAcentral lists this ribosomal RNA (429 nucleotides) under Triticum aestivum (bread wheat). RNAcentral's name for it is "partial small subunit ribosomal RNA". The record is from RNAcentral. Lineage: Eukaryota; Viridiplantae; Streptophyta; Magnoliopsida; Poales; Poaceae.